CCUACGGGGGGCAGCAGUGGGGAAUAUUGGGCAAUGGGCGUAAGCCUGACCCAGCAACGCCGCGUGAAGGAAGAAGGCUUUCGGGUUGUAAACUUCUUUUCUCAGGGACGAAGCAAGUGACGGUACCUGAGGAAUAAGCCACGGCUAACUACGUGCCAGCAGCCGCGGUAAUACGUAGGUGGCAAGCGUUAUCCGGAUUUACUGGGUGUAAAGGGCGUGUAGGCGGGAAAGCAAGUCAGAUGUGAAAACCAUGGGCUCAACCUGUGGCCUGCAUUUGAAACUGUUUUUCUUGAGUACUGGAGAGGCAGACGGAAUUCCUAGUGUAGCGGUGAAAUGCGUAGAUAUUAGGAGGAACACCAGUGGCGAAGGCAGCUUACUAAACUGCCACUGACAUUGAUGCUCGAAAGUGUGGGUAUCAAACAGGAUUAGAUACCCUUGUAGUC
This 443-nucleotide ribosomal RNA is filed under the name uncultured bacterium. RNAcentral describes it as "partial 16S ribosomal RNA". It matches the Rfam family "Bacterial small subunit ribosomal RNA", at positions 338 to 795 of the family's 1533-position model. The record is from RNAcentral.